UACGUAGGGUGCAAGCAUUAUCCGGAGUGACUGGGCGUAAAGAGUUGCGUAGGUGGUUAGUAAAGUGAAUAGUGAAAUCUGGCGGCUCAACCGUACAGACUAUUAUUCAAACUCACUAACUCGAGAAUGGUAGAGGUAACUGGAAUUUCUUGUGUAGGGGUGAAAUCCGUAGAUAUAAGAAGGAACACCAAUGGCGUAGGCAGGUUACUGGACCAUUUCUGACACUGAGGCACGAAAGCGUGGGGAGCGAACCGGAUUAGAAACCCCGGUAGU
This 273-nucleotide ribosomal RNA is filed under the name uncultured bacterium. RNAcentral's name for it is "partial 16S ribosomal RNA". It matches the Rfam family "Bacterial small subunit ribosomal RNA", at positions 524 to 794 of the family's 1533-position model. The record is from RNAcentral.